Molecule: long non-coding RNA, 6432 nt
Organism: Columba livia (rock pigeon)
Lineage: Eukaryota; Metazoa; Chordata; Aves; Columbiformes; Columbidae
Exons: 3
Source: RefSeq, a predicted model, not a curated record
UAGAACUCUCUUUCUUACAUAGUUUAUCCCAAAAUAACUUAAUAUAGAGAACUAUAUGCUAUCGGUGAUAUUUGUGCCAUGUUUCAUACCAUGCAGUCCUAAUAUUAAGGACACUAUGCACUGAUAAAAUAUAGAAAUAAUGUGGCUAUCAAUACUGAGCCAAAGAGGAAGAAAUUGUUCCUGCUCUCCUUAGACGACUGGACAGGUUAUUUGGAGCAUGUGGAGAACUAAAUUGUCUGAGGGAUGCCAGGCAUGAUUAUACUGUCAAAAAGUAUAUAGAAGGAGUAUGUAUGUAAAAAACUAACACAAAGAGAUUUGGGGAACUGUGGGAAAAGGACACGACAUGAUAUGUAGAGGACAGUGAGUAAGGAAGCAAGUGGCAAAGAACAACACUGAACCUAAGCAAGUAAAUCGCCCCGUUAAGAUGGGGCAUACUGCAUUCUGGUCUGUGCUUCAACUAUUUCAUCACUUGUCUCUUAGCAAAAGGAGCCAUUCCUGCGAGUGGGAGAGCUGGCAGGUCUGCAGGGCAGAUGUGGACACCUCCUCUUGACUGCUUCACUGCCAGAGGUCCAGGCACAACCUGGCCUGAGGAAUGGAAUAGUUGUUCACGUCAAAAUUUAAAUGAUCAAGAGGCCGCUGAGUAGAACCUUGCUGAGAUGAAUGGGGAAGUUCAAAUCUCACAGAGAUAUUCUUCUUGCUUUCAACCAGCUGGCAUAGUCAUGUCUGGUUUGAAUGAGUCAUAGGUAAGAGAUCGUUUACACAAACUGGACAUCUACAAAUCCAUGGACCCUGAUGGGCUGCACCUGCGAGUGCUGAGAGAGUUGGAACAUGUUAUUGCAAAGCAACUCUCCAUCAUCUUUGUAAGGUCUUGGAGAACAGGAGAGGUGCCUGAAGACCAGAAGAAAGCUGACUUCCCUCUGGUCUUCAAAAAGGGCAAGAAGGAUGACCCAGGAAGUCAGUAUGGGUAGUUAGCAUGGGUUCAACAAAGCGAAAUCAUGUUUGUCCAACCUGACAGCCUUCUGGCUGAGUGGACAAUGGAAGAGAAGUGGACAUUAUGAAUGUCAAGAGGAUGGGACCAGAUUCCUUUCAGUGGUGCCCAAUGAUAGGAUGAGGGCAAUGGGCAUGGACUGAAGCACAGGAGGUUCCAUCUGAAUAUGAGGAGAAACUUCUUUACCUUAAGAGUGACAGAGCACUGGAACAGUCUACCCAGAGAGGUUGUGCAGUCUCUGGAGACUCUCAAGACCCACCUGGAUGCAUUCCUUUGUGAUCUACUCUAGGUGAACCCGCUUUAGCAGGUGGGUUGGACUAGAUGAUAUCCAGAGGUCCCUUCGAACCCUAACCAUUCUGUGAUUCUCUCUAAUUUGCUUGGCAAAAUUACGCUAAAAGAUAGGACAAGUAUUAAGCAUAAUUUUACGCUAUGUCUUAGCUUAGAAAUGCCUUUCUUUCAAUGUACAUUUGCUUGCUUAUCCUUUGUAGUAAUAACCAUGAAAACACACCACAGGUUUUUUCCAUCAAAUUGAAAUUAUGGAAGUAAUUCAGUGUAUUAUAAUUCCAGACUAUUCCUCAAAUAAGGUUUUGUGGGGGUAGGGAGUGGGGGAGGUAGUUGGCUUGGAAUUUCUUUAGUCAGGGAGUGUGCCUAAUCAGAAAAUUACAUCUCUUUAACAGCAUUUUCUACGUACUGUUCUGUAUCUGAGAUGAGUUGACCCACAAGCCUAAAUAUGCUCCAAGUCAUACCCCAUAAAUUAAGGGGACUCCAGUAAGAACAGGAUAUGUAAGUCCAGCUUACUUGAAGCUUAGAAAUGAUAGCUGCAUUUCUACAGGGUAAGAGAGCUAUUUGGCCUAUCCUUUUAUAGAAAAACUUUUUUUUAAAAAAAUAAAAGACACAUCACACACAAAACUAAAUCCGAGUAAAAGGACUGCUAUGUAUGCUAGAUGUUCUAGCCAGCUUCCAAGAAAACUUGCACGUUAUACCUUACUACUGGCAAGAUGUUGUGAGUGGACACAGCUGAUGGAUCCCAACUUUUCAAGCCCUUUAGAUCUAAAUACUUUUUUUGGAUCUAGACCUGAGGGCACACUGUGAAGUUCCAACCCUUUGCCUGGCAUCCUCUCGAGACAGGUAGAAACAGAAACACCAUUUCUUUCUUAAGUGUGUUUUUUUACCUAGGGCUCUUGCAGCUUGCAGGUACUUGCAUGGGCUUGUUUGUAUGAAGUCAUGGACUCAGACAAGGGCAAUGUCUCCUAUUUGCUGGCUGAAGACAUUACCAGCAGCCCUCACCCCACUUUUACCCUGGAGACUGCUGCUCUCUCAGAUCUGGAGGUAGGCUGGGCACAUGAGGCCUCUCUGACUCUUCUCAGUCCAAGUGGGGUGGGUAGUUCAAAUAGUUAAUCUUGACUAAGUGUCCUCAUUUUGAUGGGAAUGAUUUAAUGAACAGCUCCGAGGAAACAGUAGCUGACAGCAGAGGCCACCAACAAACAACCGAGACAGUGCAGGCAAAGGGAAAUGGUGAUUUCUUUAACUCAGCCAGACAGAAAUGGGCAUAAUCAAGCACCAACACUGCAGAACUAAUCAAAUCUGAAGUGACUUGUUACCAUUUCUCACCUCUCCAGGCCAAGGCAGGUGUCAGGAGCACAGUUCAAGUAGCGUACCUUUAGCAAGUUAAGACAUGUGGCCAGAUGCAACUCAUAAUUUGUCACUGUCACAAUUGCCAUUGCAGCAGUCUGUAUUCUGGUUGAAUGCAGCCUUCUAUCUGAUUUAUUAUUAAGCUGGGAAAAGAAAAUCUGAAUAGUUUGAAAAUGAAUAAAGGAAGUUUGAGAAUUUCAUGUUUCAGAUGGAAAAGGAAAGAGAAAUGUAUUAAUUUGAAUUUAGUCUUCAUGCAAGCAGAAACAAGGUUUGUGGGUACUGAUAACUCAAAACAUGAAGGGAUUAGUCCUAGAAAAGGAAUUACAAUUAAAUCAUAGUCAUCAUUCAAAACAGGGCAGAGAGGAAGUUUUAAAUGUACAUUUAAUUAUACAAAUUUUGUGGAUUAUAUAGUAAAAUUAACAUGUAAUCCUGUUCAAAGGCUGUGUUUUAAGUUAACAAAUUAAGUUAUAUUUGAAGAAGUGAUAAAGAGAUUACAGUUCUGCUGAAAGAGAAAAUUAUAACAUGCAGCACUUUUACUCUCUGGUAGUCCCUUUUAAUGCAGCAGAGGGAUGGGAACCUGCCCACACAUGAAUGAGCUGAGUCCCAUAAGAAAAAUCAGCCACACGAGGCAGCUUUCCUCUGACUUGCCCAUUAGUGGUUGCUUGGGGCUGCUCCAGGAGGCUGCUCAGAGCACCUUGAGUUGGGCUCCCAGUUUGAAUGGUCCCUGGGAAAAACUUCUCCCUUGGUUACAGGAGACUUAAGAGAUUAGACCCUCAUGGCUAAGCAUAGACUUCAUCAACACCCUUCUUAAUUUCCUUCUGUUUUUCCUUACUACUGAUGGUGCCUUACUGUCCAGUGUGUUCACAUUCACACAUCUCCCUGCACUUCCAGAGAUGCAGAUAUCUCACAAGAGUUGCCGUGUAUUUCACACUGAGAAAAGGAAACACUCAUACCUUGGGAGGUCUGCUGUAGACAGACAUUUAAUUCAGUGUAUUAAAUAAGGAGAAACCCCAACAGGCUACAAGCAUCCUGUUGAUAUCCAUCUGAACUAUUCCUGGCAUGACACUUGUCUUCCUUCUAGUUCUUCUUGUAUUGCACUCCAACUGCAGAGCAGGUGGGAACAGAAAGCUCUGUAAUUUAACUCCCAGGCUCACCUUUCUCAAGAAAGAAAAUAAGUGAACUACAAUUACUGGCCAAUUUCUUUUUCCUGUAGUCUUUGAACUUUAAUGAACUAGAAAGAAGAGUAACAAAAUAGAGGAGACAGGAAAAUAAGGUCAUCUACCCAACUGGUCGUAUAUCUUCUUUUGCUUUCUUCUGCUUUUAGUUUUGUUAUUAAAAGAAAAAUGUUUUCAUCAGUACAAAAUGGCGGGAAGCUGUUUGAAGAGUGACUAAUCAGAAAUACGGAGUGUGAUACCUCUUAAAUUCAAAUAAAGAAAUUUGAUUCUUCUCUUUCUUCAUAUGACAUCUUCCUUCACCUCCCAUUUGUCUCUCUUCCUGUACUCUGCUCCCCUUUCAGAAGUUUCCUUUUAAUGAAAGGGCAGAAUAUUUCAGAAGCAGAGGUUAUGUUCUCUCAUGUCAUUUAUCUGUGAGUCCAAAAGCUUGACAUUCUCUCUUGAGAAUGAGUUAUAAAACACUUGCAGAGCUGGACAUGCAUCUGAAACCAAUUUGAAGGCUGCAGAAAGUUUUUCUUUGAUGCCACCAAUUACUUCCUGCAUUUCAUUAUGUCUUUGUUGCUCUUCACUUUCAUAACUCCCAUAGGCAUAAUCAAAUAAGUUUUAAAUUAAAAUGUAUUUGCCUAAACAGAUAUUUUCUAUCUCAUUUUACUUGUGACAGGCUUAAUGAAAUCAUAAAGACAACGUGUAUUUGUACAACAAUUAGCUUUCAGAAAUUGCCUAUGUAUGUUUGAAAAAACUUAGGUAGUGGGCUUCUGAGGUGUCAGAAUAUCUGGACAGUAUAUGAUUUGAAGCAUUAUUAGCUAUCUGCAUAUUCACAUCAUAGGACUGCUUUCUGUUUCUUUGGUUUCCUGCAUUAUUGAUUGUGCAGUAUCACUCAGAGAAUGUCAGAGAAGCCAGAAAAUGGGCUUAAUUUCUUGCUGCCCUGUGGGACCUGUAGAAGGAACACCGAGUGUAAUGUGUAGUAUUUGUACCACAUAUGAAUGUAUGCAAAAACCCGCCGUGUCCUCUAUCAGCAACAAAAAACAAAUUAUGGAUGAUUUAAGAAUAUCUUUUUGACAUGACCUUCAUGUUUCAAAGUAAAACAAGGAACAGGGUGGAGGGAGGAAUUAAACUAGAGGGAAUGGUACAGUUUCUACAUAAGCAAAUAUGGUAUGAUAGCUGAUAAUUUCCAGGAACAUAUAAAGCAUUCGAGCAUUGGCUAUUCUUCAUGUGUGUAACAUUUCCUGAUGACUUGAAGAAUAUCCCAUGCCUAAUAUGGACGAAGUAUUUUUCUAAGUAAGACAAAGCGAUAGCUGUGCAUUGGCUAAAACAGAAGAUGAUCUGACAGAACAAUACAAAGAUCCGAGGGAGAGCCAGUUUUUAAAUAUACAUACUCGCUGCAUAUCCACUGUUUCAAAUUAAUACAAUAGAGUGCUAUAAUAAUAAGCGCUUUCUAGUCAUCUGCCUUUUUCUGUUCAGUGUUGCCAAAAUUCUCAUCAGCCAAACCUUAGUUCUUUUCUCUUAACUAUUCUGUAGCUAGAAAACAUUUUAAAUGCCUCAGACUUUUUUUUUUUUUGUUUUGUUUUUUGUUUUUUAUUUUUUUUCAGUGUAUGUUUUAAUUGAUUUUUUGGUUUGCAAGGCAAAGGUCUAGACAGGCCUAUAUAUCCAUGACUUAUUCAUGCAAAAAAUAUUAUUUAGAGAACGGGCCUGUAAUGUCAAGGGAUUUUAAGAAUUGUGUAUAUUCAUAGAGUAAUCUUGAGGCUGUGAGUAGGUCAAGCUGAAGAGAAAAAAGUAAAAGCAAAAGGUCAGGAUACGAGUUAAUUUUGCCACAAGGUUUUCCAUUAUAUGGCAGAUACUUACUGUUCAAGAAGGAAAAUAUAUGUGAUAAAUUGUUUACUUGCAUUUCUCCCAGAACUCCCAAAGGCUUCCCAUUUCAAAAUACUUUCCCUUUCUCUGCAAGCAAGGGUAUUGUUUAUGAGUUAUAUAGCACAAAAUUUUUUCUUGUUGACUGUAAUAGGAAUGUCUCUGGGUGAUCAGCUGGCAAUCAGUAAUCUUUACAUGACCAUUUUAUAAUUAUUGGUUCAUCAUAUGCCUGGAAAAAAAAAAAUGAAUUGAAAACUGGUGUGAAGAUAACAUAUUCUAUAAAGAGGAACUGAUGCAAUAGUUUCUAAGUACAUUUGCAUUGAUUUAAACCGAAGUCAGUCCACUUACAUCAGAGGAGUAUUAUGGAUUCACUGUAGUGUAGCUCAACAUCCAGGUCCAAGCUUUUAGAAAUAAAUUGGUCCCAUUUGCAUGAUAUAAUGAACAGAAUUUUCUGAUAUUCAGGGGACUUGAGAGUUAACAGCCUAGAGCUAAAUCAUAGAUCAGAAAGGUAAUGUGGAAAUAAUAGAGCUUAUGGAAAUAAUAGGGCACACAUGCUGUAAGGGAUCCCAGGGACUGCACAUACUCUGCCUUUGUUAAUUUUUCACGGCAUUUUGCAUUCAAAAGUACACACACAUCUCACUGGGUGAGAAUUGUUUGUGCAUGUAGAAGUGGCACUUCAGCCUGGAAGCCUUUGUAAGCCUUCACUUUCCUUUAAAUUCAAAAGUACUAUUCAUCGGAGUUGAGCACAGCACAUUACACAACCUCUGUGGCCAGCCCCAGCGUUACUGGUGCAGU